RNAcentral lists this transfer RNA (74 nucleotides) under Pacificibacter maritimus. It matches the Rfam family "tRNA". Rfam says of the family: Transfer RNA (tRNA) molecules are approximately 80 nucleotides in length. Their secondary structure includes four short double-helical elements and three loops (D, anti-codon, and T loops). Lineage: Bacteria; Pseudomonadati; Pseudomonadota; Alphaproteobacteria; Rhodobacterales; Roseobacteraceae. The record is from Rfam by way of RNAcentral.
GGGCCCGUAGCUCAGUUGGUUAGAGCAGAGCGCUCAUAACGCUUUUGUCGUAGGUUCAAGUCCUACCGGGCCUA